Molecule: ribosomal RNA, 237 nt
Filed under: Triticum aestivum (bread wheat)
Lineage: Eukaryota; Viridiplantae; Streptophyta; Magnoliopsida; Poales; Poaceae
Description: partial small subunit ribosomal RNA
Source: RNAcentral
AUGACGGUGCUAAGCUGGAACUGUCGGGGCCUUGGGCAACCCCGGACAGUUCAGGAGCCGGUAUGCCUAGUGCAUACUCACAAGCCCAAGAUCGUCUUCCUAGCUGAAACGAGACAGUGCGAGAAUAAAGUUAAAGGUAUGAAAUGGAGACUAGGUUUGAAACAUUGCCUUACCAAGGAUGGUAAGGGCAAAGGGGCUGGUAUUGCACUGUACUGGGACGAUUCAAUAAAAAUAUAA